RNAcentral lists this ribosomal RNA (467 nucleotides) under uncultured bacterium. RNAcentral describes it as "partial 16S ribosomal RNA". It matches the Rfam family "Bacterial small subunit ribosomal RNA", at positions 28 to 507 of the family's 1533-position model. The record is from RNAcentral.
GAUGAACGCUGGCGGCGCGCCUAACACAUGCAAGUCGAACGAUUAAAGCACCUUCGGGUGUGUAUAAAGUGGCGAACGGCUGAGUAACACGUGGGCAACCUGCCCCUUUCAUUGGGAUAGCCACGGGAAACCGUGGAUAAUACCGAAUACUUCGAGACUUCCGCAUGGAAGACUCGAGAAAGCUCCGGCGGAGAGGGAUGGGCCCGCGGCCUGUUAGCUUGUUGGUGGGGUAACGGCCUACCAAGGCAAUGAUGGGUAGCUGGGUUGAGAGACCGACCAGCGAGAUGGGGACUGAGACACGGCCCAGACUCCUAGGGGAGGCGGGGGGGGGGAAGCUGACACAAGGGGAGAAGGCGGGAGGCGGCGACGCCGGGGGCGGGAGGAAGGCUUUGGGUUUGUAAACCGCUUUCGGCGGGGACGGGGCGAAAGUGACGGUACCUGAAAAAGAAGCCCCGGCUAACUACGUG